GAAUGGUCAGUUUUCUAAAGAGGGACAUGCUAGAAGCACAAAGCCAGGCAAGACUUACUGGCUGCACCCUUAAAAGAUUCUCUGCUGCAGGAAUUCUUAGUGGGGGGGUUUCUUGAACUUGACUACAUCUUAGGAGCAUUACAGGAAUUCUGGGACUCAAAACACCUAUUGCUUUUCCCUGGAUGGGUGUGAUGAGGAGCAAAACAAGCAGCUGGACGUGCCAUCAGCUUUCCUACAUGAGGGUGUUGUGAUUACUCACCUUUGUGCAAUACAUGGUAUUUUAAAAAUGGUCUGGCCCAGUGAAUAGUUGUUAAAAACUCCCAUUGAAUCUUAAGAACUCUUGAACAGAUGGCCAUCAGCACACCCACCUCAAGAAGGAGGUCUGUGGGCUGGCUGAGAGCAGCAGGGCUCACUGCCAGCACUGUGUAAUCACUGGGAGUGGCCUUCGGAUGUCAAGUCCCCUGUUGCUGCUUGCAGUUCUGCAGUGUUCCCACACAUAUUAGCUGAGGAAUUGACUUGGGUGGGGCAUUGGAAAUCCCUCUUCUCCUCUUGGAGCUAUAACACCAUGGGGAGAUAAGGAGUCUCCUCCUGUGCUCAGCCACUGUUGAAAUAGGGAGAAAACAUUGAUUUGUGAGAAGCAAGUUUGCAUGCUGAGUUAUGCUGCUGGCUCCACACCCUGCUGAGUAAUACACUGCCACUGGCUCACCCAAGAAAGGCAGUGGCACGAGGGAACACAAAAAAACAUGCCAUAAUCCCUUUUUCUGCAUUAUGUGAUCUAAAAAGUCUCUUUCAACUCAAAUUUCUUUGAAUGAACACAACCAAAUCUUGCUCUUCAUCCUGAGUGCAUGCCUCUCCCACAUGGAACACUGGAUAGCCGUCUCAUGGGAUCCCACCAGAUUGCUCUCUCUUUACUGAGCUCUACAUCUCUUAUCUACCUCAAGUAAAUGUAGACUGGUCAACUUUCUGAGGCCUUUUUUGAGUGAGAUAAGAAGAGAGAGAAGGGCAGAAAGUUUAUCCCUCCAGCUUUGCCCUGAAUUCCCUCCAGGCAGGAUGUCUGUCCCCUCUGCACAUUGGAACAAUUUGAGUUGAAAAGGCUGAAGUAUCCCUUGUUGUGCAGCUAGUGUCAAGGCUGACAUAACAUACAGUAUAGGGAUUAUCUUGAUGUUUCCUAGUGACUAAUAUGCCUUUUUGAUGUAAAACAGAUUAGUCUGAUUUCAUUUCCCACCUUCAUUACAACGGCUGUCCAACCCGCACCACAGCACCCCUUCCUGCAUGGCGUCUGAAAUCCUUGCUGAAGUAAUUACAUACAUCAGUGACUGGAUCAAAUUUGCUAUUCCUAUGAUUCACCUGUAACAAUUAUCUUUGCCAGCACUUUUUUUUUUUAGUGGAUAGACCAUUUGAAGCAUUACCUAGGCCAUGCAGAUAAAGAAUACCUGUCAUCUUUAAGUUACUAUCAAAAGGAUAGUGUUGAUAAUAUAAAGAUUAUAGAUAUAUCUUUGUGGAUUAGGGCUUAAUAGGAAAAAGCUCACAGAAUUCCUCAUUUGUUCCAUCCCCAGUCAUGCAAGGCACUAAGCAAAACCGUAUCUUGCGGAAAUUGCUGCACACAGGAAAAACCGCAGACAAUUUAGAAAGCUUUGGCACACAGCUCAGUUCAGUGUCUGAAAGGGAAUGGGAUAGGCUUAGUGGGGCUGAAGAGGAAGCAGAAGAGCUAUGGCAAGCUCAUGGUCUAAAAAGAGACAGGGAAUUAACAUGUUUUAGAGAUCUACCAAACUCCAUCACUACCAACCUUCAACAUGACUACUACCAGCCUUCCACAUCACCGCUGAAGACACUGAGCUAUGUUGGGUCAGAGCAGCCUCAGCUGUCCAUCCUUCACAGCAUCCUUCCAACUGGGCAGUGACUGUGCCACCAAACUGACCCUUGAAAGCCACAUUUCUCUAGCAAGUGAGAGAUUGCACCAGAAAAGGUGCAGAUCCUCAGCACCCCUGAAGGGUGGCAGUCCCAGGUAUGGAUGUUGGCUGUACCUUGGAGAGCAUCACGGUGGGAACUUGUAUGGAUCACCUGGGUCUAUGAAAGAGUGAGGCAGAGGAUGGGCAGCACUGUAGCUCAGUCACUCUACCUUGUGUUGUGUUCCCAUUCAUGGGGAGCCUCCUAAAUCUUGAGGGACCUGAUGUUUUCUCCAUGGGAGCAGGCACAGAAAGCAAGUUCUCCAAAGGCAACCUCCAACUGUGGUUGUUUUACCUUUCUGAGAGAUUGAAGGCAGCGUUUUUGUGCAGAAGCUGGGUGUGUCAUUCCAGGCAAGCCUAGGCAGGUGGGCCACGUUGCAUGUUCACCUGCCUUUUUGGCCCUUCCCUGCAGGCUGAGCACACACAGAUGUGGGCAGCCUGUCACAGCGUCAGCCAGGCCACAGCUGCCUCCAGAUUUAGGAGCAGGCUUCUGCAGACUGAGCAAGCUGGCCUCUUCAGCAAGGCAGGCGUUUUGCUAAUUUUCUGCGUGCAUGUACACAUCUCCACAUGAGUACUCAGCUUGAUUGGCUGCUUCCAAACCACCAGCACCCUGGACAAGUCACAAGGGAGAGGCUGCUCAUCUCACUGCCAGCUGCCUCAUCAGUCCCGACUGUGUGUGACCCCCAAAUAAGAAUUCAUCAUGCAGCAGAGCUGACAUGAUCUGAGAGGAGAUACAGAUGCCCAUAGUCAGCUUUCAUAGGAAGUGUUCUUCCUAACCCUAUCCCAGUUUUAGAAGAAAUACAGGACUACAGAAGAAAAGACUUCAGACCCCAGCUCUUUAUCUCUUUGACUGGAAUCUGAAAUAAAACCCUCAAAGAGACUCUUAGAUGAUCUAGAUUAACAUCUCUGAUAUGUUUAUUUAAAUUAUAAAUCCUGGAGGAUUAUAGGUGUGUAUGAACAGAGCUUGGGGCGAUAGGGCUUUGUCUGUGGUGGGGGCACUAAUAAAACAAAGAAGUCCAGAUUUCAAAAGCAGUUAGGAAUUUUAUUAGGACUUUCUGGUAGAUCCCUGUGAGUAGGUGGAUUUGUGGCAUCUUUCUGGGUGGCAAUAAAAAUUGGGUUUUUUUACAAAAGGACUGUCCUCCGUCCCUACUAAAAGUAUUUCUACUUUGCUAAAACUCCGCAAUGAUACACCAGAAGAUGUCACAAUACAGUGCACUGAAUUCAGAGGUGAGCAUUGAGUGUUCAUCCUCAUGAUACAUAAUUGAUGUGUUGCUCUAUUUCCUCAUGUUUGGGAUAGGUCCUGCACUUUGCUGUACUCAGUGGGAAAUUGCAGGUAAAAUGGGGGUGAUUCUGCUAAAAAGUGAUUCCCCUGGUUUUCCCUAGAUACAGUACUGGUCAUAUGCAUGUGCCUGAGUUUUCAGCAGAGGAACAGUUCUGUUAAAGACUGAGCUGCUGAGCCACCACCUGAAUUUGUGGAAAUUCUUUUCACACAUGUAAUUUAUUUAGUAAAGCUUCAUUCACAUCAAUGACUAAAAAGAUAUUUUUGCUUUUGCACAUUUAUCCUUGAUCUAUUGAAUAUUUUCUUCCAACUACCAAUCACCAAAAGGGCAUGUGUUUUUAUGUGUGCGUGCAGCACAGUUUUGCCUAAAUAAUUGCCAUAGUGCUUUGAUGUCAUUAAUAAAAAAAAUAAAUUAAAAAGGAUUCAUUGCUGCAGCUCAGAAGUCUGAAGGGCUUAAUGAAAGAUGUGAAAUCCAGCAAGAUUGUAGUCCAGGCUCAUGAAAAUAUUCUUCAUGCAUAUUUCAUAUACAAGCAAUUUUCCAUUUCUUUUUCCCUGCUCACCUCCCAAUAGUCACUAAAGAAAUGCAUGUUACUCACUGAGGUAGAACCUACAUUUUUUUUAAUGUCAGGUGCUGGUUUGAUGACAGUGUUGGGAUAAUUCCUAGAGACUGCAAUACCCCUGAAAAGCUGAAAGGUUGGACUGCUGGAGUCUAAGCUAUGGAUCUGAGGUGUUCCAACUAAAAUGCCAAGCGCCUCAUAUCUGCUGUGAAAUAAAAAACAAGGGGAGACCUGGAUCCCAUGUGCACACACACACACACAAAAGAGGAACAGUAGCAGAGCAUUCCUUCAUCAGCACGGAUUUUCACCACUUUAACAUGACCACAACUGAAGGAUCCAUGCAGGGAAAAGUCCCCCCUAGAAGUUGGCUCUUCAGGGAUUAAAGGCAUAUUAGUUCUCUCUUGGUACCAGGAGACUGGAGAAUUGCAUAAUGGGGCAUACUGAAGAGUUUCUGAAGAGGAAGUGAGUCAAAGUUUGUUAUUUUCAAUGCA
Molecule: long non-coding RNA, 4273 nt
Organism: Parus major (Great Tit)
Lineage: Eukaryota; Metazoa; Chordata; Aves; Passeriformes; Paridae
Exons: 8
Source: RefSeq, a predicted model, not a curated record